Molecule: unclassified non-coding RNA, 246 nt
Filed under: plant metagenome
Description: partial contains small subunit ribosomal RNA, internal transcribed spacer 1, and 5.8S ribosomal RNA
Rfam family: Eukaryotic small subunit ribosomal RNA (bases 1-53)
Source: RNAcentral
GGAGUAAAAGUCGUAACAAGGUCUCCGUUGGUGAACCAGCGGAGGGAUCAUUACAGGACUCGCAAGACUCCUACAACCCUGUGAACUUAACUAUAAGCACGUUGCUUCGGCGGGUGUCUCGGAGGGGGUUCUCCCUCCCCGAGACGCUAAACCCGCCGGCAGCCUACUAUACUCUGUCUCUUUGCGUUGGCAUCUCGAGUACAAUCAAACAAGUUAAAACUUUCAACAACGGAUCUCUUGGUUCUG